UACAUGGGGUGCAAACGUUGCUCGGAAUUAUUGGGCGUAAAGCGCGCGUAGGCGGUUACUUAAGUCGGAUGUGAAAGCCCUCGGCUUAACUGAGGAAGUGCACCCGAAACUGAGUAGCUAGAGUACGAAAGAGGGUCGCGGAAUUCCCGGUGUAGAGGUGAAAUUCGUAGAUAUCGGGAGGAACACCGGUGGCGAAGGCGGCGACCUGGGACGAUACUGACGCUGAGGUGCGAAAGCGUGGGGAGCAAACAGG
RNAcentral lists this ribosomal RNA (253 nucleotides) under uncultured bacterium. RNAcentral's name for it is "partial 16S ribosomal RNA". It matches the Rfam family "Bacterial small subunit ribosomal RNA", at positions 524 to 776 of the family's 1533-position model. The record is from RNAcentral.